GUGAAAUCUGGAUACCAUAAUUGGGCACUAAAAUGUCCAGUAGAGCAGGAUUGAUUUUCAUUAUAGCUGAAUAUUUUUGGUGCAUGUUUUUAUUAUUAUUACUUUCUUUCCUUUUGCACAGUGAGACCAUAAACACCAGUGAUGCUUGGGAUAGAUGGGAAUAUGCCAGUCUCUAGCAGCAGUUUGCAUCUCUGUGAGUUGGGAAAAGAAAGGAAAUUCAGAAGCAAUCCUGGUCGGCAGGAUUGGAUUGCUGCCUCCGUGGCACUGCAGCAAGGGCGGGCAUGGUCGGAGCCGUGGCGGUUCUGCUUCUUGUUAACUUGGAAUAAUGACAGAUGGCUCUGUCUCAUCCAGAGGUUCGCAUAUGAAGCCAUUCAGGGAAACCGCAGUGGAAACCUAAUGCCAAAAUCAGCCCUCAAAAUCGAAUUAACCUUUAGGAAGAUCUUACAAGUGACGCUGCGAGCAUUGCUUUCUCCUGAAGAGAAAGCAGCUGGAGGAAGUAACAUCUGA
This 507-nucleotide long non-coding RNA is filed under the name Anser brachyrhynchus (Pink-footed goose). RNAcentral's name for it is "lncRNA (ENSABRG00000020796.1)". The record is from RNAcentral. Lineage: Eukaryota; Metazoa; Chordata; Aves; Anseriformes; Anatidae.